UGGGGAAUAUUGGACAAUGGGGGGAACCCUGAUCCAGCCAUGCCGCGUGUGUGAAGAAGGUCUUCGGAUUGUAAAGCACUUUAAGUUGGGAGGAAGGGCAGUAAGCGAAUACCUUGCUGUUUUGACGUUACCGACAGAAUAAGCACCGGCUAACUCUGUGCCAGCAGCCGCGGUAAUACAGAGGGUGCAAGCGUUAAUCGGAAUUACUGGGCGUAAAGCGCGCGUAGGUGGUUCGUUAAGUUGAAUGUGAAAGCCCCGGGCUCAACCUGGGAACUGCAUCCAAAACUGGCGAGCUAGAGUAGGGCAGAGGGUGGUGGAAUUUCCUGUGUAGCGGUGAAAUGCGUAGAUAUAGGAAGGAACACCAGUGGCGAAGGCGACCACCUGGGCUCAUACUGACACUGAGGUGCGAAGGCGUGGGGAGCAAACAGG
Molecule: ribosomal RNA, 429 nt
Filed under: Pseudomonadota bacterium
Lineage: Bacteria; Pseudomonadati; Pseudomonadota
Description: Proteobacteria bacterium partial 16S ribosomal RNA
Rfam family: Bacterial small subunit ribosomal RNA
Source: RNAcentral